This 399-nucleotide ribosomal RNA is filed under the name uncultured Oscillibacter sp. Its description in RNAcentral is "bacterial SSU rRNA". It matches the Rfam family "Bacterial small subunit ribosomal RNA", at positions 355 to 769 of the family's 1533-position model. Lineage: Bacteria; Bacillati; Bacillota; Clostridia; Eubacteriales; Oscillospiraceae. The record is from RNAcentral.
UGGGGAAUAUUGGGCAAUGGACGCAAGUCUGACCCAGCAACGCCGCGUGAAGGAAGAAGGCUUUCGGGUUGUAAACUUCUUUGACAGGGGAAGAGCAGAAGACGGUACCCUGAAAACAAGCCACGGCUAACUACGUGCCAGCAGCCGCGGUAAUACGUAGGUUGCAAGCGUUGUCCGGAUUUACUGGGUGUAAAGGGCGUGUAGGCGGAGAUGCAAGUUGGGAGUGAAAUCCAUGGGCUCAACCCAUGAACUGCUUUCAAAACUGUAUCCCUUGAGUAUCGGAGAGGCAAGCGGAAUUCCUAGUGUAGCGGUGAAAUGCGUAGAUAUUAGGAGGAACACCAGUGGCGAAGGCGGCUUGCUGGACGACAACUGACGCUGAGGCGCGAAAGCGUGGGGAGC